RNAcentral lists this long non-coding RNA (217 nucleotides) under Mustela putorius furo (domestic ferret). RNAcentral describes it as "lncRNA (ENSMPUG00000025500.1)". Lineage: Eukaryota; Metazoa; Chordata; Mammalia; Carnivora; Mustelidae. The record is from RNAcentral.
CUUCACGGCUCUCCAGCUAACAUCCUAUGGCUUGCCUCAGCCCUACGAGUGACACUAUGGUCCCUUGGAGGCAUUUACGUCUGCUCCACUCACAUUGCUCAACCCACACUUGGAGAGAAAUGUGUUUGCAUAAAUACUAGCAGAUGAAUUUUUUAAAUAUCACUUUUUCUUUCCUGGCACUCUGUGAGAGAAAUGAGCAAAUAUAAACAGAAGAGUA